GACGAACGCUGGCGGCGUGCUUAACACAUGCAAGUCGAGGGGGCGUUGGGGGCAACCCUGACGUCACCGGCGAACGGGUGCGUAACACGUGAGCGACCUACCCCUUUGCGGGGGAUAGCCGGCCCAACGGCCGGGUAAUACCGCAUACGCUCGCUUUGGGGCAUUCUGAGGCGAGGAAACUUUCGAGGCGGAGGGAGGGGCUCGCGGCCUAUCAGCUAGUUGGCGGGGUAACGGCCCACCAAGGCGGUGACGGGUAGCUGGUCUGAGAGGAUGGCCAGCCACAUUGGGACUGAGAGACGGCCCAGACUCCUACGGGAGGCAGCAGUGGGGAAUCUUGCGCAAUGGCCGAAAGGCUGACGCAGCGACGCCGCGGU
RNAcentral lists this ribosomal RNA (374 nucleotides) under uncultured bacterium. RNAcentral describes it as "bacterial SSU rRNA". It matches the Rfam family "Bacterial small subunit ribosomal RNA", at positions 28 to 403 of the family's 1533-position model. The record is from RNAcentral.